CCUACGGGAGGCAGCAGUGGGGAAUAUUGGACAAUGGGGGGAACCCUGAUCCAGCCAUACCGCGUGUGUGAAGAAGGCCCUCGGGUUGUAAAGCACUUUCAGUGAGGAAGAACGCCUGGUGGUUAAUACCCAUCAGGAAAGACAUCACUCACAGACGAAGCACCGGCUAACUCCGUGCCAGCAGCCGCGGUAAUACGGAGGGUGCGAGCGUUAAUCGGAAUUACUGGGCGUAAAGCGCGCGUAGGUGGCUUGAUAAGCCGGUUGUGAAAGCCCCGGGCUCAACCUGGGAACGGCAUCCGGAACUGUCAAGCUAGAGUGCAGGAGAGGAAGGUAGAAUUCCCGGUGUAGCGGUGAAAUGCGUAGAGAUCGGGAGGAAUACCAGUGGCGAAGGCGGCCUUCUGGACUGACACUGACACUGAGGUGCGAAAGCGUGGGUAGCAAACAGGAUUAGAUACCCCAGUAGUC
RNAcentral lists this ribosomal RNA (465 nucleotides) under Vreelandella stevensii. RNAcentral's name for it is "partial 16S ribosomal RNA". It matches the Rfam family "Bacterial small subunit ribosomal RNA", at positions 338 to 795 of the family's 1533-position model. Lineage: Bacteria; Pseudomonadati; Pseudomonadota; Gammaproteobacteria; Oceanospirillales; Halomonadaceae. The record is from RNAcentral.